This 249-nucleotide ribosomal RNA is filed under the name uncultured bacterium. RNAcentral describes it as "partial 16S ribosomal RNA". It matches the Rfam family "Bacterial small subunit ribosomal RNA", at positions 524 to 776 of the family's 1533-position model. The record is from RNAcentral.
UACGUAGGGGCAAGCGUUGUCCGGAAUCAUUGGGCGUAAGCGCGUGUAGGCGGCCGGUAAGUCCGCUGUGAAAGUCGGGGGCUCAACCCUCGAAUGCCGGUGGAUACUGUCGGGCUAGAGUGCGGAAGAGGCGAGUGGAAUCCUGGUGUAGCGGUGAAAUGCGCAGAUAUCAGGAGGAACACCAAUUGCGAAGGCAGCUCGCUGGGACGUGACUGGCGCUGAGACGCGAAAGCGUGGGGAGCAAACAGG